Molecule: ribosomal RNA, 253 nt
Filed under: uncultured bacterium
Lineage: Bacteria
Description: partial 16S ribosomal RNA
Rfam family: Bacterial small subunit ribosomal RNA
Source: RNAcentral
CACGUAGGGCGCAAGCGUUGUCCGGAAUUAUUGGGCGUAAAGAGCUCGUAGGCGGUCUGUUGCGUCCGCUGUGAAAACCCGGGGCUUAACCCCUGGCUUGCAGUGGAUACGGACAGACUAGAGGUAGGUAGGGGAGAAUGGAAUUCCCGGUGUAGCGGUGAAAUGCGCAGAUAUCGGGAGGAACACCGGUGGCGAAGGCGGUUCUCUGGGCCGAUACUGACGCUGAGGAGCGAAAGCGUGGGGAGCGAACAGG